Molecule: ribosomal RNA, 253 nt
Filed under: uncultured bacterium
Lineage: Bacteria
Description: partial 16S ribosomal RNA
Rfam family: Bacterial small subunit ribosomal RNA
Source: RNAcentral
UACGGAGGGGGCUAGCGUUAUUCGGAAUUACUGGGCGUAAAGCGCACGUAGGCGGCUUUGUAAGUUAGAGGUGAAAGCCUGGAGCUUAACUCCAGAAUUGCCUUUAAGACUGCAUCGCUUGAAUCCGGGAGAGGUGAGUGGAAUUCCGAGUGUAGAGGUGAAAUUCGUAGAUAUUCGGAAGAACACCAGUGGCGAAGGCGGCUCACUGGACCGGUAUUGACGCUGAGGUGCGAAAGCGUGGGGAGCAAACAGG